Molecule: non-coding RNA, 207 nt
Organism: Paramuricea clavata
Lineage: Eukaryota; Metazoa; Cnidaria; Anthozoa; Malacalcyonacea; Plexauridae
Source: the annotation of a GenBank genome assembly
CGUUUGUAAUACAAAAUGACUGUAAACGGCAAACUUCGCAAGGCUAUAUCAUGGAUAAUAAAAUAAAUGGAUAGGAAACCAUAGAGAUUAUAAAUAACACUAGAGGAGGCAUCGAGUUUAAAAAUUGGGAACGCAGCUAAUGGGGGGCAAAUUCAAGUCCCGGAUAUAAAAUCGUGCUCUCAUUGGCUGAUUUGAAACUCGUCACCA